RNAcentral lists this long non-coding RNA (622 nucleotides) under Equus caballus (horse). RNAcentral's name for it is "lncRNA (ENSECAG00000052368.1)". The record is from RNAcentral. Lineage: Eukaryota; Metazoa; Chordata; Mammalia; Perissodactyla; Equidae.
UAAAAAUUUCUUGUGUAAUCUCCUUGAACCAGUGAUUCGGUGGAAGGAUCCAUGCCAUCUGUAUCAAAGAACAUGCUACCAAAUAUAUAAAAACGUCCAUUUCCAAUGAUUUCAGUACCAUCUUGGUGUUCCAUCAUGCAGAACGAAUUCUACUUCCAAACUUAAUGAACAACACAAUUUUCAAGUUAAAGGGAUGCCCUCGUAGCUUAGUCGUUAGAAGUAAAUGCACCGUUUUGGAAUCAGACUGGACCUGGUUUGGAGUCUUGUGUCAGCCACUAACUAACUAGAUACUGAUGAGUUACUAAAAUUCUCCAAGCUUCAUUUUCUUGUAAAAAGGCAUUAAUAAUAGUAGAAAUAAUAACUUAAAUUUACUGAGCACUUAUCAUGAUGUAUUGUCAAAAUUAAUCCCACCAAGAGGUAUUUCUUAUGGUAAUCUGGAGACUAAGAGUGAACUCUUCCUCUGCCGGUCACAACUCCUUUACAAUUAAAAAUGCUUUUUCUUCUUUUAUACUUUGUAUCCUUUGAUGCUCACAACAGCCCUGUUAGACAGAGAGUUAUAUCAGCUGUUAAGAGGAUCCAGUGAGCCCGCUCUGGUUCUGAAGAAUCACUUUGAGUAUAUGCA